RNAcentral lists this ribosomal RNA (465 nucleotides) under uncultured bacterium. RNAcentral describes it as "partial 16S ribosomal RNA". It matches the Rfam family "Bacterial small subunit ribosomal RNA", at positions 28 to 507 of the family's 1533-position model. The record is from RNAcentral.
GACGAACGCUGGCGGCGUGCUUAACACAUGCAAGUCGAACGGAAAGGCCUUGCUUGCAGGGUACACUAGUGGCGAACGGGUGAGUAACACGUGGGUGAUCUGCCCUUCACCUGGGGAUAAGUCGGGGAAACUGGGUCGAAUACCGGACAGGUGCCCGUUUGAGCGUCAUGGUUGGAAAGUUUUUUGGGAGUAGGAUUAGCGCGGGGCCUAGUAGCUUGUUGGUGUGGUAAUGGCCUACCGAGGCGGGGACGGGUAGCCGGCCUGAGAGGGUGGACGGCCACAUUGGGACUGAGAUACGGCCCAGACACCUACGGGAGGCAGCAGUGGGGAAGAGUGAACAAUGGGCGGAAGCCUGAUGCAGCGACGCCGCGUGGGGGAUGACGGCCUUCGGGUUGUAAACGCCUUUCGCUAGGGACGAAGCUUUUUGUGACGGUACCUGGAGAAGAAGCACCGGCUAACUACGUG